Molecule: long non-coding RNA, 125 nt
Organism: Lolium rigidum
Lineage: Eukaryota; Viridiplantae; Streptophyta; Magnoliopsida; Poales; Poaceae
Exons: 2
Source: RefSeq, a predicted model, not a curated record
AGUUUACUGAAUUUUGGAAAGAUUCAGACAGGGACAUUGAUUCUGAAUUUCAGUUGGAGAAGUUUUGUUUCCAGAACAAGAAUGUAGUAUGUUCACAGUUGAAGUAUUGCACAAUGGAUCUUUUU